Molecule: unclassified non-coding RNA, 293 nt
Filed under: Hevea brasiliensis (rubber tree)
Lineage: Eukaryota; Viridiplantae; Streptophyta; Magnoliopsida; Malpighiales; Euphorbiaceae
Source: RNAcentral
CUAUUAUGAAAAUUUUUGUUCAGUGGCAAACCAUUCCUUAGUGCUAUAUUAUGGUUUCCUUGGAAAGUGCAAACCAGUUCAGGAAAUCAUGUUAGUAAAUUUGCAUACCUCAUUGAUUUCUUCAAGGAUGUUAUUUAUGCAGUCCCUUCUUUUCUACUGAUCGCAGAAUGAAUGAUUUUGAAGUGAGGAAGGCAGCAGACAGGGAGAAAAGUGAUAAUAACUCUGUACUGUCUAAAUGCUUUUCUGCUAGGAGGCAACGAAAUUGGUCUUUCUAUUGAUAAAUAAGUGUUUUA